AGCGAACGCUGGCGGCAGGCUUAACACAUGCAAGUCGAACGGUCAUAGCAAUAUGUCUGUGGCAGACGGGUGAGUAGCGCGUGGGAACGUACCUUUUGGUUCGGAACAACACAGGGAAACUUGUACUAAUACCGGAUAAGCCCUUACGGGGAAAGAUUUAUAGCCGAAGGAUCGGCCCGCGUCGGAUUAGCUAGUUGGUAGGGUAAUGGCCUCCCAAGGGGACGAUCAGUAGCUGGUCUGAGAGGAUGAUCAGCCACAUUGGGACUGAGACACGGCCCAAACUCCUACGGGAGGCAGCAGUGGGGAAUAUUGCACAACGGGCGAAAGCCUGAUCCAGCCAUGCCGCGUGAGUGAUGAAGGCCCUAGGGUUGUAAAGCCCUUUUGUGCGGGAAGAUAAUGACGGUACCGUAAGAAUAAGCCCCGGCUAACUUCGUG
RNAcentral lists this ribosomal RNA (435 nucleotides) under uncultured bacterium. Its description in RNAcentral is "partial 16S ribosomal RNA". It matches the Rfam family "Bacterial small subunit ribosomal RNA", at positions 29 to 507 of the family's 1533-position model. The record is from RNAcentral.